GAUCCUGGCUCAGAAUGAACGCUGGCGGCAUGGAUUAGGCAUGCAAGUCGAACGGUGACCUGGGAGCUUGCUCCCGGCGAUCAGUGGCGAAAGGGUGAGUAACACGUGAGUGACCUGCCCCCGAGUUCGGAAUAGCCCCGGGAAACUGGGAUUAAUACCGGAUGUGGUUUUCCACUGCCUGGUGGAAGGACUAAAGAAUCUCGCUCGGGGAUGGGCUCGCGUCCGAUUAGCUAGUUGGUGAGGUAACGGCUCACCAAGGCUUUGACCGGUAGCUGGUCUGAGAGGAUGGUCAGCCACACUGGGACUGAGACACUGCCCAGACUCCUACGGGAGGCUGCAGUCGAGAAUCAUCCGCAAUGGGCGAAAGCCUGACGGUGCGAUGCCGCGUGAGGGAUGACGGCCUUCGGGUUGUAAACCUCUGUCAGAAGGGACGAAGAAGUGACGGUACCUUCAGAGGAAGCCACGGCUAACUACGUGCCAGCAGCCGCGGUAAUACGUAGGUGGCGAGCGUUAUUCGGAUUUACUGGGCGUAAAGGGUCCGCAGGGGGUUUGCCAAGUUCGAUGUGAAAUCCCGCGGCUUAACUGCGGAACUGCAUUGAAAACUGGUGAACUAGAGUGCACGAGAGGAGAGUGGAAUUCCUGGUGUAGCGGUGGAAUGCGUAGAUAUCAGGAGGAACACCGAAGGCGAAGGCAGCUCUCUGGCGUGCUACUGACCCUCAUGGACGAAAGCGUGGGUAGCGAACAGGAUUAGAUACCCUGGUAGUCCACGCUGUAAACGUUGUGCACUAGAUGUGGGUGGGACUCUGGUCUCAUCUGUGUCCCAGCUAACGCGUUAAGUGCACCGCCUGGGGACUACGGCCGCAAGGCUAAAACUCAAAGGAAUUGACGGGGGCCCGCACAAGCGGUGGAGCAUGUGGCUCAAUUCGAGGCAACGCGAAGAACCUUACCUGGGUUUGACAUAUACAGGACCGCCUGUGAAAGCAGGCUUUCCUUCGGGACCUGUAUACAGGUGCUGCAUGGCUGUCGUCAGCUCGUGCCGUGAGGUGUUCGGUUAAGUCCGGCAACGAGCGCAACCCAUGUUGUCAGUUACCAGCGCGUAAUGGCGGGGACUCUGGCAAGACUGCCCGUGUCAAGCGGGAGGAAGGCGUGGAUGACGUCAAGUCCGUAUGGCCCUUACAUCCAGGGCUGCACACGUGCUACAAUGGACGGUACAAUGAGAAGCGAAAUCGCGAGGUGGAGCAAAUCUCAAAAACCGUCCCCAGUUCGGACUGGAGUCUGCAAUUCGACUCCACGAAGUCGGAAUCGCUAGUAAAGGGGUAUCAGCAACGGCCCCUUGAAUACGUUCCCGGGCCUUGUACACACCGCCCGUCACAUCAUGGAAGCCGGUUGCACCCGAAGUCGCUGACCCAACCCCUCGGGGAGGGAAGCGCCGAAGGUGUGCCCGGUAACUGGGAUGAAGUCGUAACAAGGUA
This 1472-nucleotide ribosomal RNA is filed under the name metagenome. RNAcentral describes it as "bacterial SSU rRNA". It matches the Rfam family "Bacterial small subunit ribosomal RNA". The record is from RNAcentral.